Long non-coding RNA from Oncorhynchus masou masou (cherry salmon), 241 nucleotides. RefSeq lists it as uncharacterized. NCBI's taxonomy places the organism in Eukaryota, Metazoa, Chordata, Actinopteri, Salmoniformes, Salmonidae. The record is from RefSeq and is a predicted model, not a curated record. The transcript has 3 exons.
UGUAAAUGAGCAGGGCAAAUGAAACUAACUUUUGACGACACCAUGAUCCUUCAGACUGUGUUUCUAUUGAGAGAUAAAAGGCUGGUUGAAUGAGUUGUCUAUGAAAGCUACUUCAUCUGUAAGAAAACAGGCGUCCGCACCAGUGACUGGGUCAGUGCUCUAAAAUGAGUCUCUCUGGGGAGAGAGAGGAGGGGGGCCCUGCCUCUAAAAUGCAUCUCUCUGGGGGACAUGAUACCAAAGU